GUGAACACUGGCGGUAGGCCUAACACAUGCAAGUCGAACGGCAGCACAGGAGAGCUUGCUCUCUGGGUGGCGAGUGGCGGACGGGUGAGGAAUACAUCGGAAUCUACUUUUUCGUGGGGGAUAACGUAGGCAAACUUACGCUAAUACCGCAUACGACCUACGGGUGAAAGCAGGGGACCUUCGGGCCUUGCGCGAUUGAAUGAGCCGAUGUCGGAUUAGCUAGUUGGCGGGGUAAAGGCCCACGAAGGCGACGAUCCGUAGCGGGUCCGAGAGGUAGAUCGGCCACCCUGGAACUGAGACACGGGCCAGACUCCUAGGGGGGGCAGCAGUGGGGAAUAUUGGACAAUGGGCGAAAGCCGGAUCCAGCCAUACCGCGGGGGUGAAGAAGGCCUUCGGGUUGUAAAGCCCUUUUGUUGGGAAAGAAAUCCAGCCGGUUAAUACCUGGUUGGGAUGACGGUACCCAAAGAAUAAGCACCGGCUAACUUCGUGCCAGCAGCCGCCGCGG
This 505-nucleotide ribosomal RNA is filed under the name uncultured bacterium. RNAcentral's name for it is "partial 16S ribosomal RNA". It matches the Rfam family "Bacterial small subunit ribosomal RNA", at positions 29 to 523 of the family's 1533-position model. The record is from RNAcentral.